This is a long non-coding RNA of Lolium rigidum, 509 nucleotides long. RefSeq lists it as uncharacterized. The record is from RefSeq and is a predicted model, not a curated record. The transcript has 2 exons. Lineage: Eukaryota; Viridiplantae; Streptophyta; Magnoliopsida; Poales; Poaceae.
CCAAAUGUGCAACAAAAUGAAGACUUCCUAAGAGCAGCGCGGCUAAAGAAAAAGGAAGUUCAAUCCAAAAAUUUAAGGAGGAAAAAAUCUUGGCUUGAUAAGUUGCUUAAGGGAAAACGCAAGGCAACUAGACCUGUUGUUUCUACCCAAAGAGGAGCAAAGCAAUCGAAGAAAAAAGAUGAUGUACAGCCUCAAGUUCAAGUGGAGGAUGAUAGCCGCAAGAAAGAAGACAAUGUGGACAAUGAAAAGUACAAUGUCAUCGAGAGUUUUACCCAACUCCUCACAACUCCUACUUGUGAUGGUGGUAGUUUUUAUGAUGAAAAUUUGUUCUAGUGUCUAGAUGUUGGUAGCUAACUAUUGUCUUUUGGGGCCUAAGUGUACAAGUAGUGAGGCCUAAGUGUAUUUUGGGGUGCUAAUUAUAGUCUUUUGUUCAGUACCACUUGUAGCUACAAAAUCUGAAUGAUAUGCAUCAGACUUCCAAUGUUAAGUGCUUGGAAAGUUGUGAGCCA